GAGCACGUAGGUGGGUUUGUAAGUCAGAUGUGAAAGCCUUCUGUUCAACGGAAGAAUUGCAUCUGAAACUGCUAAUCUUGAGUAUAGGAGGGGAGAAUGGAACUUCUGGUGGAGCGGUGAAAUGCGUAGAUAUCAGAAGGAACGCCGGCGGCGAAAGCGAUUCUCUGGCCUAUUACUGACACUCAGUGUGCGAAAGCUAGGGGAGCAAACGGGAUUAGAUACCCCGGUAGUCCUAGCCGUAAACGAUGGGCACUAAGUAGAGGGAAUUACCUAUGUUCUCUCUGCCGUAGCUAACGCAUUAAGUGCCCCGCCUGGGGAGUACGGCCGCAAGGCUAAAACUCAAAAGAAUUGACGGGGGCUCGCACAAGCGGUGGAGCAUGUGGCUUAAUUCGAUGCAACGCGAAAAACCUUACCGGGGCUUGACAUGAUAGAAGUAGGAACCUGAAAGGGGGACGAACGGUAUCCAGUCCGUAGCUAUUACAGGUGUUGCAUGGCUGUCGUCAGCUCGUGUCGUGAGACGUUGGGUUAAGUCCCCUAACGAGCGAAACCCUUGUUUUCAGUUACCGGCGGGUUAUGCCGGGUACUCUAGAAAGACUGCCGUCGUCAAGACGGAGGAAGGUGGGGAUGACGUCAAGUCAUCAUGGCCCUUAUGCCCCGGGCUGCACACGUGCUACAAUGGUCGGUACAGACGGAAGCGAAGCCGAGAGGUGAAGCGAAUCC
This 720-nucleotide ribosomal RNA is filed under the name uncultured anaerobic ammonium-oxidizing bacterium. RNAcentral's name for it is "bacterial SSU rRNA". It matches the Rfam family "Bacterial small subunit ribosomal RNA", at positions 565 to 1274 of the family's 1533-position model. The record is from RNAcentral.